RNAcentral lists this microRNA precursor (83 nucleotides) under Bombyx mori (domestic silkworm). RNAcentral describes it as "mir-2807 microRNA precursor family". It matches the Rfam family "mir-2807 microRNA precursor family". The record is from Rfam by way of RNAcentral. Lineage: Eukaryota; Metazoa; Arthropoda; Insecta; Lepidoptera; Bombycidae.
UUAGCUCAUAUUUGUAUGGAAUUGGAUCGUUUGUCUACGUUUGCCGCUAGGGGCGCUGUUCCAAAUGCAUACAAUUUGAGUUA